This 465-nucleotide ribosomal RNA is filed under the name Vreelandella stevensii. RNAcentral's name for it is "partial 16S ribosomal RNA". It matches the Rfam family "Bacterial small subunit ribosomal RNA", at positions 338 to 795 of the family's 1533-position model. Lineage: Bacteria; Pseudomonadati; Pseudomonadota; Gammaproteobacteria; Oceanospirillales; Halomonadaceae. The record is from RNAcentral.
CCUACGGGUGGCAGCAGUGGGGAAUAUUGGACAAUGGGCGAAAGCCUGAUCCAGCCAUGCCGCGUGUGUGAAGAAGGCCUUCGGGUUGUAAAGCACUUUCAGUGGGGAAGAAAGCCUUGGGGCUAAUACCCUCGAGGAAGGACAUCACCCACAGAAGAAGCACCGGCUAACGCCGUGCCAGCAGCCGCGGUAAUACGGAGGGUGCGAGCGUUAAUCGGAAUUACUGGGCGUAAAGCGCGCGUAGGCGGUCUGAUAAGCCGGUUGUGAAAGCCCCGGGCUCAACCUGGGAACGGCAUCCGGAACUGUCAGGCUAGAGUGCAGGAGAGGAAGGUAGAAUUCCCGGUGUAGCGGUGAAAUGCGUAGAGAUCGGGAGGAAUACCAGUGGCGAAGGCGGCCUUCUGGACUGACACUGACGCUGAGGUGCGAAAGCGUGGGUAGCAAACAGGAUUAGAUACCCUAGUAGUC